GACGAACGCUGGCGGCGUGCCUAAUACAUGCAAGUCGAACGCUUUUUUCUUUCACCGGAGCUUGCUCCACCGAAAGAAAAAGAGUGGCGAACGGGUGAGUAACACGUGGGUAACCUGCCCAUCAGAAGGGGAUAACACUUGGAAACAGGUGCUAAUACCGUAUAACACUAUUUUCCGCAUGGAAGAAAGUUGAAAGGCGCUUUUGCGUCACUGAUGGAUGGACCCGCGGUGCAUUAGCUAGUUGGUGAGGUAACGGCUCACCAAGGCAACGAUGCAUAGCCGACCUGAGAGGGUGAUCGGCCACACUGGGACUGAGACACGGCCCAGACUCCUACGGGAGGCAGCAGUAGGGAAUCUUCGGCAAUGGACGAAAGUCUGACCGAGCAAACGCCGCGUGAGUGAAGAAGGUUUUUCGGAUUCGUAAAAACUUCUGU
RNAcentral lists this ribosomal RNA (434 nucleotides) under Enterococcus casseliflavus. Its description in RNAcentral is "bacterial SSU rRNA". It matches the Rfam family "Bacterial small subunit ribosomal RNA", at positions 28 to 436 of the family's 1533-position model. Lineage: Bacteria; Bacillati; Bacillota; Bacilli; Lactobacillales; Enterococcaceae. The record is from RNAcentral.